CCAUUGUAGCACAUAUCCACUGGCUGAGUACCAUUAUACCAAGUAUAUUUUUUCCUCCAACAUGAAACACUUACAAAGAAGAGAUAUUAAAGCUUGAAGAUGGUAUCUAACCAGUGAGACAGAAAUUUCUGAUAGAUAGUAUCUUCAAACUAACAAGAUUACCCAUACCACUGGAAUUUCAAUAUACAAAUCCCAUGAAUCCUUUACUAGUAUUCUUGCAUUGUAAUUAAUGAAAUUCAAGUGGUAGGAACAUGUCAAUAUCAAAUAAAAGCUUCUUUUGAAAUGGUCUUGUUUAACAUGCCCAGUUACUCUAACCUAAUACCUUGGCCCCAUUUUUUUUGGAAUUCAAAUGGGCUUCAUUUUAUGCAGCUGACGGUUGCGCAUUUAGUAGAUGCACACCUGUGCAGUGAUCCAGGAAAGUAUGUGAGUGCAUUGAUUCUCUCUCUAUCAACAAUGUUACAUCUGGAACUUUCCCACAUCAAUGUUUUGUCUAAAAUUGAUCUCAUUGAGAGCUAUGGAAAACUAGGUAUCUAGACCAGUGAAGACUACAGAUUCUAUGUUAUAUCAGUUGAGUUCAGUGAAUUUAGUAACAAGGACAAGACAUUAAAUUAAAUCAUAACUCAUGGAGUUUGUCUUGAUGUUUUUCUUAUUAUUUUUUGGCAAAUGUUAAAACAUGAUUUGUGGAUAUGUUAUUUUUUAGUUAAUGGUGAUUGGAUAUUAAAUUGAA
Camellia sinensis is the source of this 727-nucleotide non-coding RNA. NCBI's taxonomy places the organism in Eukaryota, Viridiplantae, Streptophyta, Magnoliopsida, Ericales, Theaceae. The record is from RefSeq and is a predicted model, not a curated record.